This 77-nucleotide transfer RNA is filed under the name endosymbiont of Seepiophila jonesi. RNAcentral describes it as "tRNA-Asp". It matches the Rfam family "tRNA". From Rfam's summary of the family: Transfer RNA (tRNA) molecules are approximately 80 nucleotides in length. Their secondary structure includes four short double-helical elements and three loops (D, anti-codon, and T loops). Lineage: Bacteria; Pseudomonadati; Pseudomonadota; Gammaproteobacteria. RNAcentral also lists the same sequence under 39 other names. The record is from RNAcentral.
GGAGCGGUAGUUCAGUUGGUUAGAAUACCGGCCUGUCACGCCGGUGGUCGCGGGUUCGAGUCCCGUCCGCUCCGCCA